AGCUCCAAUAGCGUAUAUUAAAGUUGUUGUGGUUAAAAAGCUCGUAGUUGGAUGUCGGUGGCCCAAGGGAGGUUCUCUUGCUAGAGGUACUGCCCUAUGGGCUGUAAUGUUGACAGAAGUUAUGGGAUGCUCUUAAACGAGUGGCUUGUGAUGCUGGCGUGUUUACUUUGAAAAAAUUAGAGUGCUCAAAGCAGGCUUCUAUGCCUGAAUAUUCGUGCAUGGAAUAAUAGAAUAGGAAGUUGUUUCUAUUUUGUUGGUUUUUGGAAAUCAACUUAAUGAUUAAUAGGGACAGUCGGGGGCAUUUGUAUUCAAACGACAGAGGUGAAAUUCUUGGACCGUUUGAAGACAAACUACUGCGAAAGCAUUUGCCAAGAAUGUUUUCAUUA
This 386-nucleotide ribosomal RNA is filed under the name Undeuchaeta sp. RNAcentral's name for it is "partial small subunit ribosomal RNA". It matches the Rfam family "Eukaryotic small subunit ribosomal RNA", at positions 587 to 975 of the family's 1831-position model. The record is from RNAcentral. Lineage: Eukaryota; Metazoa; Arthropoda; Copepoda; Calanoida; Aetideidae.